UUUAUGAUUCAAAAAUUGUCAAUUAUUAGGUACAUGAUUCUUUUAAACCGAGCUGAUGCAAUGUGUACCAGCAUUGGGAAGCUAGUUCAUCUCAAUAACAAUAAAUAUAUCUUUGAGAGAGUAGGGAUCAUGCUUCAUGGAAAGCAUAGUUUCUACACCAAAUUCUCAAAAAUAUUCAAGCAUGGAGGUGGGCUGGUGUUUAAAACCCUUCAGUGGUUGGUUCAGAGUCUUGACAAUGAAAAGAUUUUUGUUGGUGCUAUUAUUGCUGAGGAUGAGAGUAGGGUAUCACGUCAUUUGAAACAUUGUGCCUCAGAGCGAGAAAUACCCAUGAUGCCGGCUAGCUGGAUCAUCAAGAGCUUACAUUCAGGAAAGCUCUUUCCUAUUAAGGAGAAAAACCAUUCAUCGCUUUUGCCAACAAAUAAUAUUCCAGAGGCUCCAAUUUCCAUGGACUGGAGUGAAGAAAUAUGAAAUUUACUUCUCCCAUGGGCUCUUGCAAGAUAAAUGCACAAAGUAUUCUGUGGAUUGGUACCAGCUACUAUUGAAACAUAUAAAAAGAUACCAUACUUCUCUUGCUAAGCUGUCCACGGGAGAAAAUAGUAGAGGAUGCUUAAAAUCUUAGCCUGACAUCAACACUCAAAGAUUUUGAACUUUAUGAGAAACAUUAACUAGGGUGGAAAGCCUGGCUUGCUCCAACUUCUCUGAUGCCAGGUUGAUCAAUUUGUUUGGAUGAGCAAUAUAGGGAGCUACAACGGCUUAUUAGUGGCUUAUUUCCUAGCCAGAAGAAAAGAGGGCGGCGGUGGCCGCGUGGGUGUGGGGGGAUGCGGGUAUCAAGAGAACAGUUGAUCUUAUCUGCAAUGAUUGGAUUUUGGAAGUAGAAGGCUCAAAACAGGAAGGAGUCCUGCAAAUAGAUCCCAUAAUAGCAGAGGCUCAACUUCUCAGAGAAGCCAUUGUGCAAAUGUGAUGAUCAAUGACUGGCCUAAAUUUUUUCAAAUGAAACCGUCUUUGGCUUUAAGUGCUCAUAAGUAUCAUCUGUGAAGAUGUAUAUGUUAUACCCCCAGUUGCUGAUGCUGUUAACCAGUCUAGGAUAUUCUCUUUGAUCUCUCUCUCAUGUCAAGGUACACGACUUAAAAAGAUGGAACAGGUGCUGAUCUUCUGUGAAAUAAUCGAGUCAAUAUUGAGUGGGUUGUUUCUUCCCCUUGGAGAGUGUCCAUCUUUGUGAUGCAAUGUAUUAUUCCCAGAAACGAGAGAAGCAAGUUUCUGACUGGAAAAUAUUGUCAUGUACUGCUUGUUAAUGCACACAGAUAAAGCCAGCCAGCAAUGACUAGAUAGGAGCAAUUAGUAACAGAUAUAGAUUUGCAUGUUACAUAGCGUAAGAAAUGUUGAAACAAAAAAGUAAUGACAAUUCCUAGAAUCAUGUAAUUUCUUACAUCUGUACCAUAAUUCCAUUCGUUUGAGAAAUUUAAUGAUUA
Quercus robur (English oak) is the source of this 1469-nucleotide long non-coding RNA. RefSeq lists it as uncharacterized. The transcript has 5 exons. The record is from RefSeq and is a predicted model, not a curated record. NCBI's taxonomy places the organism in Eukaryota, Viridiplantae, Streptophyta, Magnoliopsida, Fagales, Fagaceae.